AAUGGGCGAAAGCCUGACCCAGCAACGCCGCGUGGGUGAUGAAGCUAUUCGGAGUGUAAAACCCUUUUGUGCAAGACGAAGCCGCGGGGAACAAUACGCCCCGCGGGUGACGGUAUUGCGCGAAUCAGCCCCGGCUAAUUCCGUGCCAGCAGCCGCGGUAAUACGGAGGGGGCGAGCGUUGUUCGGAAUUACUGGGCGUAAAGGGCGCGUAGGCGGUUCCGUAAGUCAGAUGUGGAAGCCCACGGCUUAACCGGGGAACUGCGUUUGAGACUGGGGGACUGGAGUAUGGGAGAGGAGAGCGGAAUUCCCAGUGUAGCGGUGAAAUGCGUAGAUAUUGGGAGGAACACCGGUGGCGAAGGCGGCUCUCUGGAACAUAACUGACGCUGAGGCGCGAAAGCGUGGGGAGCAAA
Molecule: ribosomal RNA, 410 nt
Filed under: uncultured bacterium
Lineage: Bacteria
Description: bacterial SSU rRNA
Rfam family: Bacterial small subunit ribosomal RNA
Source: RNAcentral